GACGAACGCUGGCGGCGUGCCUAAUACAUGCAAGUAGAACGCUGAAGAGAGGAGCUUGCUCUUCUUGGAUGAGUUGCGAACGGGUGAGUAACGCGUAGGUAACCUGCCUUGUAGCGGGGGAUAACUAUUGGAAACGAUAGCUAAUACCGCAUAACAAUGGAUGACACAUGUCAUUUAUUUGAAAGGGGCAAUUGCUCCACUACAAGAUGGACCUGCGUUGUAUUAGCUAGUAGGUGAGGUAAUGGCUCACCUAGACGACGAUACAUAGCCGACCUGAGAGGGUGAUCGGCCACACUGGGACUGAGACACGGCCCAGACUCCUACGGGAGGCAGCAGUAGGGAAUCUUCGGCAAUGGGGGCAACCCUGACCGAGCAACGCCGCGUGAGUGAAGAAGGUUUUCGGAUCGUAAAGCUCUGUUGUAAGUCAAGAACGGGUGUGAGAGUGGAAAGUUCACACUGUGACGGUAGCUUACCAGAAAGGGACGGCUAACUACGUG
RNAcentral lists this ribosomal RNA (497 nucleotides) under uncultured bacterium. RNAcentral's name for it is "partial 16S ribosomal RNA". It matches the Rfam family "Bacterial small subunit ribosomal RNA", at positions 28 to 507 of the family's 1533-position model. The record is from RNAcentral.